CCUACGGGAGGCAGCAGUAGGGAAUUUUCGGCAAUGGGGGGAACCCUGACCGAGCAACGCCGCGUGAAGGAAGAAGGAAUUCGUUCUGUAAACUUCUGUUAUAAAGGAAGAAAGACGGAUGGAGGAAAUGACAUCCGAGUGACGGUACUUUAUGAGAAAGCCACGGCUAACUACGUGCCAGCAGCCGCGGUAAUACGUAGGUGGCAAGCGUUAACCUGAAUUAUUGGGCGGAAAGAGUGAGCAGGCGGAAGCAAAGGUCUGUGGUAAAAUAAUGAAGCUUAACUUCAGUAAGCCAUUGAAACCGGGCAGCUUGAGUGCAGGAGAGGAACGUGGAAUUCGAGGUGUAGCGGUGAAAUG
This 357-nucleotide ribosomal RNA is filed under the name uncultured bacterium. RNAcentral's name for it is "partial 16S ribosomal RNA". It matches the Rfam family "Bacterial small subunit ribosomal RNA", at positions 338 to 688 of the family's 1533-position model. The record is from RNAcentral.